AGGCAGACAGGUGAGAAGCAGACAGGUGAGACAGAGGAGAGACAGACAGGUGAGAGGCAGACAGAGGAGAGGCAGACAGGUGAGAGGCAGACAGGUGGACAGGUGAGACAGAGGACAGACAGAUCGAUAAGAGACAGACAGACAGGUGGAUGAAAAGUCUCUCUGUUUAUCGUCUGUUGGAAUUUCAAACUCUGCUGAUAUGAAGGUGAUCGAUGGCUGCUGACACACAAACCCAUGUGACCCUGCUCUGACAGCCAAUCAGAGAGCAGCAUUCGGC
Molecule: long non-coding RNA, 277 nt
Organism: Labrus mixtus (cuckoo wrasse)
Lineage: Eukaryota; Metazoa; Chordata; Actinopteri; Labriformes; Labridae
Exons: 3
Source: RefSeq, a predicted model, not a curated record